CACAGGCAUGCUCUUCUAUUUCAUUUCCUCCAUCUUCACCCUUUCAACACACUUUUGCACUUCCAAAAACAUGUCUCAAAGUUUUGAAACUUCAAUGUUUGCUAUACAACCCGAUAUUUGUGAAUGCAGUUAUUACUGUAAACUAAAAACAUCAAAGACCCAAAAUAAUCCGGGUUGCCGUUUUUGGCAUUGUAAAGUGCCCGAAGAUAUGGGCGGCUGCAAACACUUUCGGUGGGAAGAUAGCAUUUACGUGGAUAAAACGGUGGCGGCGAAGUUUAAAAAUUCACUUUUUGAUAGAGAUACGGCGACUUCACGUAUCUCUAAAGAUACCGCUAAGUUGGACUCGCAAUUUAAGCUUGUGGAAGCUGAAGAAAAAAUUGAACGUUUGGAGGUCUUGCUCACCGAUU
Lycium ferocissimum is the source of this 407-nucleotide long non-coding RNA. RefSeq lists it as uncharacterized. Lineage: Eukaryota; Viridiplantae; Streptophyta; Magnoliopsida; Solanales; Solanaceae. The transcript is spliced from 2 exons. The record is from RefSeq and is a predicted model, not a curated record.